UGGGGAAUAUUGCACAAUGGGGGAAACCCUGAUGCAGCGACGCCGCGUGAGCGAAGAAGGCUUUCGAGUCGUAAAGCUCUGUCCUAUGAGAAGAUAAUGACGGUAUCAUAGGAGGAAGCCCUGGCUAAAUACGUGCCAGCAGCCGCGGUAAUACGUAUGGGGCGAGCGUUGUCCGGAAUUAUUGGGCGUAAAGGGUACGUAGGCGGUUCGUCGCGUCUGGUGUGAAAGCCCAUCGCUUAACGGUGGGUUUGCGCCGGGUACGGGCGGGCUAGAGUGCAGUAGGGGAGACUGGAAUUCCCGGUGUAACGGUGGAAUGUGUAGAUAUCGGGAAGAACACCAAUGGCGAAGGCAGGUCUCUGGGCUGUUACUGACGCUGAGAAGCGAAAGCGUGGGGAGCGAACAGG
Molecule: ribosomal RNA, 404 nt
Filed under: Verrucomicrobiota bacterium
Lineage: Bacteria; Pseudomonadati; Verrucomicrobiota
Description: Verrucomicrobia bacterium partial 16S ribosomal RNA
Rfam family: Bacterial small subunit ribosomal RNA
Source: RNAcentral